Molecule: long non-coding RNA, 678 nt
Organism: Gallus gallus (chicken)
Lineage: Eukaryota; Metazoa; Chordata; Aves; Galliformes; Phasianidae
Exons: 7
Source: RefSeq, a predicted model, not a curated record
GGAUCUCUGUUUGGAGAUUCUUCCCUUGUGGAGCUUUUCCUGUGAGCUGAGAUCUUUGGAGACAGAUCUCCAGAUGAUUUGCAGCAUUCAGCUGCCUGCUAAGUUACAGAUGGGGAAGAGCAUCCCAGAGAAUUUUCUAGACUCAGAGGACCUGUGUAUGUAAACCACAGAGAGGAAGAGGGAAAAGUGACUUAAGCAAAAAUGACAACUUGUCCUGUUCUGAUCUAGACUGGAGAAACUGCCUGUAUAUAUAUGUGGAUGACUGGAAGCCUGCCUAAUGCCAAAAGUUUGGCUGCGAUGCUCAAAACCAGACAUUUCAGAGUGUUUUGAUAUCUGUGAACAUGUAAGAAGAAAAUCAUUUGAAACUGUGUUCGCUUGUUCCCGUGCCUUGGAGAAGGUUUAUAAUCGUGCAGCAGAGCAGCCACAACCUGCAAUCAUGAGUUGGAGCUAAUAUCCUCAGAAGAAGGUAACCAUUAUAACCAGCAACCUGCACAGCAUUUCAUCUAUCCCUAGUCAUAGCACGAUGGGAAGCCACACAUUCCCAUCUUUGCCCCAAAACAGCCAGUGUCUAGGAGAAACUUCACGUACCUCAUUGUUUGCCUGCAAAGCCUAGGUUGCAGUGUUGUCAAACCAUGAGAUUCAAGGAAUGGAAACCUGGACUUCUGCACAUUGUACAGA